CCCUUAGAUGUUCUGGGCCGCACGCGUGCUACACUGAGUGGAUCAGCGGGUCAGGUUGCGCGAAAGUGUUUCCUAAUCUUUAAAUCCGCUCGUGAUGGGGAUUGACGGUUGCAAUUUUCCGUCAUGAACGAGGAAUACCUUGUAAGCGCGGGUCAUCAUCCCGCGCUGAAUACGUCCCUGCCCUUUGUACACACCGCCCGUCGCUCCUACCGAUUGAGUGGUCCGGUGAGGCUUUGGGAUCUGAGCGGAAAGAGCGUUUCGCUGUUUCUGCUCGGAAAACUCAGUCGAACCUUAUCAUUUAGAGGAAGGAGAAGUCGCAACA
This 322-nucleotide ribosomal RNA is filed under the name uncultured eukaryote. RNAcentral describes it as "partial 18S ribosomal RNA". It matches the Rfam family "Eukaryotic small subunit ribosomal RNA", at positions 1470 to 1796 of the family's 1831-position model. The record is from RNAcentral.